RNAcentral lists this transfer RNA (44 nucleotides) under Spondias mombin (yellow mombin). RNAcentral's name for it is "partial tRNA-His". Lineage: Eukaryota; Viridiplantae; Streptophyta; Magnoliopsida; Sapindales; Anacardiaceae. The record is from RNAcentral.
GAUUCACAAAUUCACUGCCUUGAUCCACUUGGCUACAUCCGCCC